RNAcentral lists this ribosomal RNA (490 nucleotides) under uncultured bacterium. RNAcentral describes it as "partial 16S ribosomal RNA". It matches the Rfam family "Bacterial small subunit ribosomal RNA", at positions 29 to 507 of the family's 1533-position model. The record is from RNAcentral.
AGUGAACGCUGGCGGCAUGCCUUACACAUGCAAGUCGAACGGCAGCAUGAUCUGGCUUUCUAGAUUGAUGGCGAGUGGCGCACGGGUGAGUGAUACAUCGGAACGUGCCCUGUUUUGGGGGAUAACUAGUCGAAAGAUUAGCUAAUACCGCAUACGACCUGAGGGUGAAAGUGGGGGACCGCAAGGCCUCAUGCUAUAGUAGCGGCCGAUGUCUGAUUAGCUAGUUGGUGAGGUAAAGGCUCACCAAGGCGACGAUCAGUAGCUGGUCUGAGAGGACGAUCAGCCACACUGGGACUGAGACACGGCCCAGACUCCUACGGGAGGCAGCAGUGGGGAAUUUUGGACAAUGGGCGAAAGCCUGAUCCAGCAAUGCCGCGUGUGUGAAGAAGGCCUUCGGGUUGUAAAGCACUUUUGUCCGGAAAGAAAUGGAUCUGGUUAAUACCUGGGGUUGAUGACGGUACCGGAAGAAUAAGGACCGGCUAACUACGUG